This 317-nucleotide long non-coding RNA is filed under the name Vigna radiata. Its description in RNAcentral is "long non-coding RNA (VRAD_LNC014891)". The record is from RNAcentral. Lineage: Eukaryota; Viridiplantae; Streptophyta; Magnoliopsida; Fabales; Fabaceae.
GGGCACAACGACUAGGGUUUCGAAUAUGAGAGAGGAAGCGAGUGAUGAGAGCAACCGAAAGAUGAGAGCAACAGAGAGAGAUGAGAGCAAGCGAGAGAGGAGAGAGCAAGCGAGGGAGAUGACAGAAAUCCAGAGAGACGAGAGGAAGCGAGAGAGAUGAGAGGAAGUGAGAGAUGAAUAGUGAAAGCGCGAAACCAAUUUUCAUAUUUUCUGAAUUCCAAAUAUAUCCUCGCCUGACCAUUUGGGUAUUGUUUUUUUCUUUUUAAAAACCAGCCAACAGACAAAAGUCACGUGGCGUUGUCAAAUAGUUGGCAAAA